GUCCAAUGCCUGAAAACAAGUAAAGCCACUCCAUGUAGAAAAUUACAGGCCCCAUAGAUGCAUAUGACUGAUUGCGGCUAAUGCUCGCUGCUGCCAAUUAUCCUUAUUAGCACACGCCGUCAGGCCCAAAAUGACAUUAAUUACCACAAGCAGUAGUUCACUUGUGGGAACGGUGCAUUGACAAAAAGGUUACCCUGUCCGGAAAUUAAUCAUAACCUCCGCUUUGUUGGAAAUUCAGGAAAACGGGGAAAAGUAAGCGAGUGAAUUUUUUUAAAAAGACGGAGUUCCACCAGCCACCAUGGAGCGAAUCUCCACGGUGUAUCGGCCACACCUCCUGCUCUGCCAGAAGCCUGCUGUGUCUUCCGUCUGCUCUGUUGAGUUGACUUUUUUCUCAUGAAUUUGUAGGACCCCUCCACAUAGUUAUUCUCAGUGCUGAUUCUUCGACAGUUACACAUUUCACAAACAUCCUGCAAGACUAGUUCGUCUUUUCACUUUCGUCAAGACGCCUUUCACAGAGAUGUGAACAACUUGAUCAGUGUGUGUUCAGCAAGAUAUGUCGUGUCUGGCUAAGGGUGAGGCUCGCACCCCAUCCGUCUGAGGCCCAGGCCUCCGCAUCCAGGUUCAUCUUCCCUCCAGGGCCUGAAGGUGCUGCUGUUACCUCCUUUGGUCUCGUGUCCCUGACUGGAAACUCAUGUCAGUCUGAGUCUUGUUUCCUAGCUGCUGAUGUCUUCUCUCUGGAAGCUUCUAGAAGAAUGUGCGUGCUCAGUCAUGUCCAACUCUUUGCAACCCCACGUUGCCUGUCAGGCUCCUCUGUGCAUGGGAUUCUCCAGGUGGAUUCUUUACCACUGAGCCACCUGGGAAGUGAAAGCUUCUAGAACCCCCUCACCCUCAGAGCUCUGCACGUCUGCCGUGUCUGGGCCUACGUUUGUCCCUCUGGCCCGCUGGUCUUGUCAGUUCCAGAAUCGCUGUGUUUCUUCUGUCCUGUGAAGUUCUACUCUUAUGAAGUCACUCAGGGAAUGUAAGUGGUGCGGCCACUUCAGAACAGGCUGGCAGCUCCUCAGAAGAUUUAAUGUGGAGUUACCAUCUGAUCUGGCAGUUCCAUCCCUAGGAGUAGACCCAGGGGCAAUGAACACCCAGGGCCCCACAAAAACAUGUACCGGAGCGGUCAAAGAAGCAUUUUAAAUAAUAGACAAAACAUAUGGAAACAGCCCAACUGUCCAAACGAGUGGAUAAACAGUGAUCAAACUGUACACUGGAGUAGUAUUUGACUGCAAAAAGAGUAAAACAACCGCAACAAAACCAAACAACCAAUCUAAAAAUGGGCAGAGGGCUUGGAUAGACAUUUCUCCAAAGAAGAUGUAUGAAUGGCCAAUAAACUUGUGAAAAGAUGCUCAGCAUCACUAAUUGCUGCAUUGUGUGCUGUGCUCAGUUGCUCAGUCAUGUCCAACUCUUUGUGACCCCAUGGACUGUAGCCCCCCAGGCUCCUCUGUCCAUUCGAUUCUCCAGGCAAGAAUACUGGGGUGGGCUGCCACUUUCUCCUCCAGGGGAUCUUCCUGACUCAGGGAUCGAACCCUCCUCUCCUACCUCUCCUGCGUUGGCAGGUGAAUUCUUUUACCACUGAGCCACUUGGGGAGCCC
Molecule: long non-coding RNA, 1637 nt
Organism: Bos taurus (domestic cattle)
Lineage: Eukaryota; Metazoa; Chordata; Mammalia; Artiodactyla; Bovidae
Source: Ensembl